AACUUUUGGCAAUGGAUCUCUUGGUUCUGGCAUCGAUGAAGAACGCAGCGAAAUGCGAUAAGUAAUGUGAAUUGCAGAAUUGAGUGAAUCAUCGAAUCUUUGAACGCACAUUGCGCCCGCCAGUAUUCUGGCGGGCAUGCCUGUUCGAGCGUCAUUUCAACCAUCAAGCCCCCGGCUUGUGUUGGGGACCUGCGGCUGCCGCAGGCCCUGAAAACCAGUGGCGGGCUCGCUGUCACCCCGAGCGUAGUAGUUACAUCUCGCUCUGGGAGUGCUGCGGGUUCCGGCCGUUAAAAGCCUUAUUUACCCAAGGUUGACCUCGGAUCAGGUAGGAAGACCCGCUGAACUUAAGCAUAUCAAUAAGCGGAGGCU
RNAcentral lists this unclassified non-coding RNA (369 nucleotides) under uncultured Chaetomium. RNAcentral describes it as "sequence contains ITS2". The stretch from base 1 to 154 matches the Rfam family "5.8S ribosomal RNA". The record is from RNAcentral. Lineage: Eukaryota; Fungi; Ascomycota; Sordariomycetes; Sordariales; Chaetomiaceae.